AGAUGGGAGAAAUAAAGCUAAUGGUGGAUGCCUAGGUAACUUAAGCCGAAGAAGGACGCGUGAAUGAGCGCGAUAACAACGGUGAGUCCUCUAUCAGACGAUAUCAACCGUUGGUUUCCGAAUGGGGCAACCCGAUCCUGCGUAAGUAGGAUGAUACUACGCUUCGCGUAGUAAGGAGACCUAAUGAACUGAAACAUCUCAGUAACUAGAGGAAAAGAAAACAAUAGUGAUUUCGUUAGUAGCGGCGAGCGAAAGCGAAAUAGCCCAAAGUCUGGAGUAAUCCAGGCAGUUGCAGGGCCCGCCACAACAGGAUCAGUUAAGAAUAGAAGAAUAUCUUGGAAAAGAUAGCCAUAGAGGGUGAUAGCCCUGUAUUCUAAAUUCGAGACUGCUUGGGUGGGUACCUAAGUACCACGAGUCACGGCAAACCUUGUGGGAAUCUGGGUCGGUCACGAUCCAAGGCUAAAUACUUAAGUUGACCGAUAGUGAACAAGUACCGUGAGGGAAAGGUGAAAAGUCCCCCGAAAGGGGAGUGAAAUAGAACCUGAAAUCAUUAGCUAACAAACAGACAGAGCUUGUGCGUAGCACAAGGCAGUUUAGAAAGUUCUUAAAGUGAAAAGUUUGUAAAGAUAUGUUGUAUUAAAGCAAUUAUCUUUAUUAAAUUUAAAAACCUUAUAACUUUGUAACUUCCUCGUGCUGCGCGCGAGUAAUGUCGUGCCUAUUGAAGAAUGAGCCAGCGAGUCUCCGAUAAGAACUUCGUUUAAUCCCUUUUUGGGAAAAGGCAAAGCGAAAGCGAGUCUUAAUAGGGCGAAUUUUAGUUCUAUCGAAGGACCCGAAACUGGGUGAGCUAACCAUGAACAGGGUGAACUCCGCCUACAGGCGGAGGGAGGCCCGAACCCGUUGUCGGUGAAAUGGCAUGGGAAGAUUUGUGGUUAGGGGUAAUAUGCCUAUCGAACCCAGAGAUAGCUGGUUCUCCCCGAAAUAUAUUUUGGUAUAGCCCUCGACUUUAUUUAUGAAGGGGUAGAGCUACUGGAUGGUUAUGAGAGCGUAAGCGAUCACAAUCAACCAAACUCCAAAUACUUUGUAAAAAUAGCGAGGAGUCAGUCUCGCCGGGAUAAGCCGGUGUAGGCAAAAGAGAAACAUCUCAGAUUUCCGUCUAAGGUUCCUAAAUGAUUUUUAAGUGGUUAAGGCCGUUGGUUGUCCAACACAGUAGGAAGGUUGGCUCAGAAGCAGCCAUCCUUUAAAGAGUGCGUAACAGCUCACCUAAAUAUUCUACGCCAAUGGCGUAGGGAUAAUCUGCGCCGAAAAUGAUCGGAGCUAAAAAUCUGCCGAAGACGAAAAUCUUGUGCUUCGCACAAGGGUUUAAGGUUAAUUACUUUUUGGUCAUAAUUGACUAAAAAUAAUCACAACUUUACUCUUGUGUGAAGCACAAGGUGGUAGGGGAGCGCCCGCCAGGCAGUGAAGCAAAAUUGCAAGAUUUUGUGGAGCGUGGCGGGGUGAGAAUGCUGGCAUAAGUAGUGUAUCUCCCGAUGAAAACUCGGGAUGCCGAAAAUCCAAGGUUUCCUCAGCAAUGUCAAUCAACUGAGGGUUAGUCGGAUCUAAGGGAGUCCUGUUUGGUACUUCCGAUGUUCAAACAGUUAAUAUUCUGUUACUUUAACACUCUUGUUAUUACUUAAAAAUUGACGAAAUUUGAUACUCUGUCCCUUCUAUAUGGGGGGUUAAGUUAUAAACUGUAUCGUAAGAUGCAGCAAGUAACAAAUACAACCCUGACGUAAUGUCGGGGGAGAUAGAGGACUUAAGUUCCCAAGAAAAGAUUUUUAAGGAAAGAGUGUUGAAUCCGUACCGAUAACCGACACAGGUGGAUUGGUGUAGAACACUAAGGCAUACGGGUAAUGAUGAUUCAAGGAACUCGGCAAAAAAGCUGGACGUAAGCUUUGCGAUAUGUCCUGUCCCGCCUCUGGCGGGAUUGCAACAAAUGUUUGUCAACCGACUGUUUAGCAAAAACACAGGUUCCUGCUAACCCUAAAAGGGGAUGUAUAGGAGCUGAAACCUGUCCAGUACUGGUAAGUUAAUCAUUUCGGGUGAUUCCGACGAGCAAUCUUCGGAAAAGCUUGAGAUGCAAGCUCCAGUGAACGACAGCUCUAACCCUGAGAGUUCUAAGGUAGCGUAACCCCUUGCCGGGUAAGUUCCGGCCCGCAUGAAAGGUCUAACGAGUUGACAACUGUCUUGAAUCACUGCCCGACGAAUUUGAAAUGGCUGUGAAGAUGCGGCCUACCUACACCUGGACAAGAAGACCCCGGGAGCUUAACUGAAACUAGGCAUUGGUGGGAAGAAAUAAAUUGUUGAGCGUAGGAGGGAGUCCCGAGUUUAUCGGGACAACGAUGAAACACCUCUCUCUUGUUUUUUUUCACCUUAUCCCGCUUAGCGGGAGACAGUACUUGGUGGUCAGUUUAACUGGGGCGGUUUCCUCCAAAAGAGUAACGGAGGAGCGCAAAGGUCAGCUAGCUGCGCAUAGAAAUCGCAGUGUUAGUGCAAACGCAUAAGCUGGCUUAACUGUGAGGCAUACAAGCCGAUCAGAUGCGAAAGCAGGCGUUAGUGAUCCUCGAUCCCGAUGUGAUAUCGGGACGGGCUUAACGGAUAAAAGCUACCCCGGGGAUAACAGGCUGGUCGCCUCCGAGAGUUCAUAUCGACGAGGCGGUUCGGCACCUCGAUGUCGGCUCACCGCAUCCUGGGGCUGAAGUCGGUCCCAAUGGUCGGGCUGUUCGCCCGUUAAAGCGGUACGCGAGCUGGGUUCAGAACGUCGUGAGACAGUUCGGACUCUAUCCGGUGUAGGCGCAUGGAAUUUUGAGGAGGGACUCCUACAGUACGAGAGGACCUAGGAUGUGGAGAUCCCUGGUGUACCGGUUAUCUUAUAAGGGUAAUGCCGGGUAGCUAUAUCUCUAUUCGAUAAACACUGAAUGCAUAUCAAGUGUGAAGCGAGCUCCAAGAUAAGAAUUCCUUUUAGCUUUCCUGAAGAUUACAGGAUUAAUAGACGUCAGGUGUAAGUUCUGUAAAGAAUUUAGCCAAGACGUACUAAGUAGCAAUCUCCCAUCUUU
Candidatus Roizmanbacteria bacterium is the source of this 3092-nucleotide non-coding RNA. The record is from Rfam. NCBI's taxonomy places the organism in Bacteria, Candidatus Roizmaniibacteriota.